This 253-nucleotide ribosomal RNA is filed under the name uncultured bacterium. RNAcentral describes it as "partial 16S ribosomal RNA". It matches the Rfam family "Bacterial small subunit ribosomal RNA", at positions 524 to 776 of the family's 1533-position model. The record is from RNAcentral.
UACGAAGGGUGCAAGCGUUACUCGGAAUUACUGGGCGUAAAGCGUGCGUAGGUGGUUCGUUAAGUCUGAUGUGAAAGCCCUGGGCUCAACCUGGGAAUGGCAUUGGAUACUGGCGACCUAGAGUGCGGUAGAGGGGUGUGGAAUUCCCGGUGUGGCAGUGAAAUGCGUAGAUAUCGGGAGGAACAUCAGUGGCGAAAGCGGCGACCUGGGUAGAUACUGACGCUGAGGUGCGAAAGCGUGGGGAGCAAACAGG